AAAAGAUGUGCAUGAUUGUGUUGUGAAAAGUGGACUUGAAUUAAAGUAGUAUAAAUAAAUUUUAGUACCUUUUGCUUAAGGGUUUUUCAAGAGAAGUUUAAGAAUUUAAUCUUCCCGAAUAAAAGAGAGUUAUUCUUUUGAGUUAAGAAAUCGGGAUAGAGAUUUAAUUAAACUAAAUACAUGUAAUAGCGGCUAGAUACUAUUCGCGCUUUUAGAUAUCUGGUUGGCUUAAAAAGAUAUGUAAGCAUAACCUUAACUAAUUAAG
RNAcentral lists this long non-coding RNA (265 nucleotides) under Mytilus galloprovincialis (Mediterranean mussel). The record is from RNAcentral. Lineage: Eukaryota; Metazoa; Mollusca; Bivalvia; Mytilida; Mytilidae.